Long non-coding RNA from Lutra lutra (Eurasian river otter), 3193 nucleotides. RefSeq lists it as uncharacterized. The record is from RefSeq and is a predicted model, not a curated record. Lineage: Eukaryota; Metazoa; Chordata; Mammalia; Carnivora; Mustelidae. The transcript is spliced from 3 exons.
CUCAUGGUUGGGAGCCCUAGUCUGAUGAAGGAGACAGCCCCAAGAUAGAGAAGACUGGUCUUCAUUCUGGGUGAAGGGGGCUAGUCUGAUGAGGUCACACCGACCAGUCAUGUAGGUACAGCUUUCCAGAGAAGAGGAGCCCUGGAGCUUGCCGGAAGGUCGCAGAAAGAGUUUGUGGGUCAGAUGAAUGAGAUCUGAUGGGAUACUUGGGACGUGGGAGGUCUCCUUGGGACCUUCACACUAAAGACUAUUGAGAGCCACAGCAAGUUCCUGAGCUAGGAAUGCAGGAAUCUGAGAAAGUUGCGGCAGUCAUAAGCAUUAGGAAGAGCUGCCUGGAGGUCUGGAUUCUCAUCCUUGGGUAAGUCAUUGGACCUCAUUUUCCCCAGCUGUGCAGUGGGGAGACGGUGAGAUUGAUCUGCAGCUCUAAAAUCAAGUGGCCGGCUCUUAGCCCAAGAGUUGGGAGACCAGUAAGAUCAUCCAUGUCAUUGAGACUCGAAUUCCCUGGUGUUGUGCUGGGGGGAAGGCUGGAAGGCCCAGAGUUCUGCCCAGCUGGUCAGCAAAGGCUGACAGAGGCCUUGGGAAUAUUUACCAGUUGGAAUGGGCGUCCCCAGAGGCCCACUCAUUGCAGCUGGUGGGAAACUUCACCUUCCAUCCACCUCUUGUCUGCGUUGGUUCCAACCCUGUAAAGUCCCCUGGGGCCAGCUAGGAAAGAGUCUGGACAACUGGGGACAGGGAUGGUAGUAUACUCAGGCAGAAGAGAGAUGGCACCAGUGCCAGCAGCGCCUCGCUGUCUUGGAGCUGCUGUCUGUUCCCCUGUUUGAGCUCAGUGCUCUCCAGGACCAUCAACCAGCAGGGCCAUGGGCAUCCAGUGACUUUUGCAACUACUGCCAUCUCUUACAGAAGGAGACCUUAAUCUUCCUGGUGAGCACCCACAUUAUACCUUUUCCAUCUAUCCUGCUCUGGGGGCUCUCACAGACCCGAAUAGAGGGGAAGAAGAUGUCAAAAGAAGAGACAGAAGGCACUAUUACAACUCAGGGAGUUGAAUCAAAUACAGCAGACUCCACAAAAAUCUCUGUGCCUAAGGGACCUACAGCAUGCUCACUGAAACCUUGGCUCUCUCCAACAAUGGGAGAGACAACAGCUCUGCAGUUCCCCUUAACCUCUCACCAACAACCAGGAGGACAGCAAUGUCAGAGUCCAGAAGAGUACACCACUAGCUGCUACUCCCAUUUUACCACAAGCCAACAGCUCUGCUGGGUCCACUGAGCAGAAUACCCCAAUACUUGAGACUCCAAAUGAGAGAUCCAGAAGCACAGCCUCAUCUAGAACAGCUACUUCAGCUAAGCACUAAAACAGAAUCAGAGAGCUCCAAUCAGAGCCCCAUUAGCAUCAAGCUCCAUAAUCAAUGGAUUGGAAUCAUCAGUGUCCACUGACUCUCAGAUAUCAGCCACGAUCACAGUUCUAACAGCAUUAAGCAUACCAGGUGAUGGCGUCCUAUCAGUGGGGUCCAUGACAGCCACUGUGUCUGAGGAGUAAGCUACAAUGAUUUCCCCAACCACACUGAACAAGAUCACCAAUGUGAAAGAAUCUCUACCCACGACAACCAGUGCAGUCAUCCACACCACUUCAAUAGCCCUGACCAUCCUAGGGAUGACUGUUCCUGGAACAAGCAUGUCUGGGACUCCGCAAGGGGAAACUACAGCUGCACACCCAGUCCCAACAAUAGCCCUCCUGAUGAGCAUACUGUCCAAAACACAUCACUGCGCUGCCACACAGACACCUUCCUGGCCAGUGGAAUCAGCCCCGAGCACUGGCGCUACAGCAGCCUAGUCACCUGAGACAGCAGCUGCUCAACAGCCCUCAUCACCCAGCAGCUCGGGGACAGCAAAGUCCUCUGACUUGAAUGGGUCCAGUCAGGUUUCCCUAAAUGCACCCAGAGCAGUCGUCCCGGAGUAGGAGCCCAUGCUUUGGAUGAGUACCCAGCUGGUGGGAGUGUUUAUACGUGCAAGGACAACUAUGACGCCCUCUUAGACCUGUCCCUGGUGUAGGUGGCCCUGCGUAGACAACUGAGGUGGUCCUGAGCAGCCGCUUCCUGAAGAUUCACUGCUGGAUCCGGAGGGAAGGUGCCGCCUUAGGAUGUCUCAAUGUUGGCAAGACAGAGGAGGGUUGUUGCCAUGCAUGCGUUUCCAUGAUGGAGAAGAAGGAGGGUACUUGUGGACCGCACUUCUCUGUAAGCAAGCUGGGAGGAGCUGCCUGACAAGAAUGGGGGAGUCUGAGAGGCAGGAUGUGGAGAGGACUGCAAAAUGGGUGGUUGGCACCAGUCAUGACUUUAUAUCUAUCCAUGGUCAGAAGGAAAUGGAACACAGUGGUUAAAGGUGUGGGUGGGCACAGCAACCAGGCUGCUAACUGAAGAGACUUCAGCAACCUAUUUAACUUCUGUGAGCCUCAGUUUUCUCAUCUCCUUCAAAAAGAAAGAGUCCAUCAAGGUGGAACUUGGAAUGGAUUUACUGAUGGUGAGCUUGAGCCCUGGAAAUAAAGACCAUGGGAUAAAAAGAUUAAAUGGGCCUCACGGAGUACAAGAGACAGAGAUUAAACAGGUGAUCCCCUAAUGCCCACAGGAGGUAGCAUCUGUGCAGACAGGUACUUGGUGGGUAAGUAAUUUGCUGUCCCUUGGACUUGUGCAUUGGUUGGUUUCUCUUCCUGGAAACCCUCAACUCCCUGAUAUCCAUAGAGAAAACUCUCAUCUCCUUCAAGUCUUUGCUAAAAUGUGACCAUUUCAAUGAAGCCCAGCCCACUCAUGCUGUUUAAAAUUGCAACUACUCUCCACUCAUCCAUUCUAGAUCAGUUUCUUUCUUCUGUGUAUCACCUCCUAACUAUAUGCCAUAUUAUAUGAGAUCAUUUGCAUUUUUAAAAAUGAAGUUAUUCAUCUGAAAUUAAUGAUAUACUAGCAUAUGUUGGCUAAUUGAAUUGAAAGAAAGAGAGAAAGAAAGAAAAAGGAAGAAAGAAAAAGAAAGAAAGUAAGUUAUUUACUGUAUGCCCUUACCCACUAGAGAAUGGGAGGUUUGGGUCUGUUUUGUUCACUCAUGUUUCCUAAUUUUCCCAAGGACCCAGAAUAGAGUCUAUAUAUAGUAAGAAUUUACUAUAAAAAAGUCACCAUGACAAUAGUGUGGACAGUUCAUACCACUAUUUCCUA